RNAcentral lists this ribosomal RNA (695 nucleotides) under uncultured bacterium. RNAcentral's name for it is "bacterial SSU rRNA". It matches the Rfam family "Bacterial small subunit ribosomal RNA", at positions 136 to 851 of the family's 1533-position model. The record is from RNAcentral.
CUCCGGGACAACCGCUGGAAACGGCGGCUAAUACCGGAUACUCCGGGAGGGCCCCAUGGCCCUGCCGGGAAAGCCGAGACGGCGCGGGAUGGGGUCGCGGCCCAUUAGGUAGACGGCGGGGUAACGGCCCACCGUGCCCGCGAUGGGUAGCCGGACUGAGAGGUCGACCGGCCACAUUGGGACUGAGAUACGGCCCAGACUCCUACGGGAGGCAGCAGUGGGGAAUUUUGCGCAAUGGGGGAAACCCUGACGCAGCAACGCCGCGUGCGGGACGAAGGCCCUCGGGUUGUAAACCGCUUUCAGCAGGGAAGAUCCAAGACGGUACCUGCAGAAGAAGCUCCGGCUAACUACGUGCCAGCAGCCGCGGUAAUACGUAGGGGGCGAGCGUUAUCCGGAUUCAUUGGGCGUAAAGCGCGCGUAGGCGGCCGCCUAAGCGGGACCUCUAACCCCGGGGCUCAACCCCGGGCCGGGUCCCGGACUGGGCGGCUCGAGUGCGGUAGAGGAGAGCGGAAUUCCCGGUGUAGCGGUGGAAUGCGCAGAUAUCGGGAAGAACACCGAUGGCGAAGGCAGCUCUCUGGGCCGUCACUGACGCUGAGGCGCGAAAGCUGGGGGAGCGAACAGGAUUAGAUACCCUGGUAGUCCCAGCUGUAAACGAUGGGCGCUAGGUGUGGGGGGACGAUCCCUCCGUGCCGCAG